RNAcentral lists this small nuclear RNA (175 nucleotides) under Erpetoichthys calabaricus (reedfish). Its description in RNAcentral is "U2 spliceosomal RNA (ENSECRG00000015890.1)". It matches the Rfam family "U2 spliceosomal RNA". Rfam says of the family: U2 is a small nuclear RNA (snRNA) component of the spliceosome (involved in pre-mRNA splicing). Complementary binding between U2 snRNA (in an area lying towards the 5' end but 3' to hairpin I) and the branchpoint sequence (BPS) of the intron results the bulging out of an unpaired adenosine, on the BPS, which initiates a nucleophilic attack at the intronic 5' splice site, thus starting the first of two transesterification reactions that mediate splicing. The record is from Rfam by way of RNAcentral. Lineage: Eukaryota; Metazoa; Chordata; Cladistia; Polypteriformes; Polypteridae.
AUAUUAAAAGGUUAACAGACAAGUGAUAAUGUGCAGCAUCUGUCCUUAUAAGAGUUUAAAAUCUGAUAUGCUGCCUAUCUGGGCACCGAAUUUUAAAUUGAUUUUUGGAAACAGGAGGUGGCAUAGCGGCUUGCUCCGUCCACUCCACACAUCGACUUGUAUCUGUGUCUACUGC